RNAcentral lists this long non-coding RNA (1565 nucleotides) under Daphnia magna. RNAcentral describes it as "uncharacterized LOC123472455". Lineage: Eukaryota; Metazoa; Arthropoda; Branchiopoda; Diplostraca; Daphniidae. The record is from RNAcentral.
UCUAUAUGUCCAUUGCGUUUUACUUCAAAUUUUCACGAAAAUUUCAAUAUAUACCGAAUUUCAUCUUAGUUUUGUGUGAUUUCAUUAAAAUAUCAGGUUUAUCAUACCUAUGGUAUAAAGAUUUGCCUGAAUUGGCGGUAGACAAUCAGACAUAACUACACAAACGAAGAAAGAAACACUGCCGACACAGAAAUACAAUUCGCCGGAAUUUACACCAUAACGCUAUUAGCUCUAAGAGAUUGUUCGUUCGUAAAUACAAAUCAAUCCCGAAGGUCUAACCACCGUGGGUGAACGCUCACUCGACGCUCACCUUUUCACCCACGGGCCCUAUAAGGGAUGUGUUUUAAGUAUUAACACCACUCGGGUUUGAAUCAAAAUCAAUUGUUAUACACUACACUGCAUAUGGAGCACCACAGUAAAUACAACUAUAACACUUAGAUUCGACGCUCAACAUUCAAAUAUUCUCGGCACACUCACUCCCUUUUUGUCUUCUUACCUCUUUAUAACAUCCUUCUACAAGCAAGGCCUUAGGCAAUGCCGUUUCCCACUGCGCAACGUUCGAGUUUCAUCCCGAUCCGGAUUGAUUUCCAAAACGUCGAUUGCAGUAGCAUCCUUUCCUUUAUCCUUCAUUUCCUUACACUAUGUAAUAAGAAUGCCAGGAAAACCGAAUCACAGAAGAUGUUCUUCGCCACUUUCAAAUUGAGGACGUGGACGGCCCAGAAAGCAGCCUACUGUAGAUAGUGUAGAAGAUUUGAGUUUUGUCCAACAGGACAUUCUAAACGAAGAGAAUCAGAUUUUGUUCGAUGAAGCUUCUGACUCAGUCUCGCAGGCCAUUGACUUCAAUGAGAAUCAGGAUUCAGGCGUGCAAUUGAAUCAGGCUCCUACUCCAGAUUUGUCGACAGAAAAUCUUGCUCGAGCUAUUUGGUCAGAUGAUGAGGAAAUUGAGGAUGACGAAGAAGCUCCAACAGCUCGCAAGGAUCCUGAUCAACCACCCAAUACUAAUCCAAUUUCAGCUUUCAAGCAGAACUCAUUUCCUUCCUGGAGAAAAGAGUUCUUCAUGGAUUGGCGUUAGGUUGCAGACGAGCGAGUUCAUUGCCUUUGCAAAACGUGCCGGAAUUACUUUUCCACACCCUUCUCGUCAAGCCACUUUGGACCGACUCGCGACUCGCAUGCUGGUCACUGGAAACAUUCCCCUAAUUUUUUUAGGAAUCCGGAAUGGAAAGAAUUUGUCAAGGUCAUCAUACCAGGUUACAAGGCCCCAACCGAUUUCACAAUGAGACGGCGUCAUAUAGGAGAAGAAUAUGACCGAAUUAAGAUGCUCGAAUGCCCGACGAAAAUAAACAUCGGUUCCCUUUACUGGCACCGAUUGCACGUGACAUAUUGGGAAUCCCUGCUACUUCGGCCAACAUUGAACGAUGCUUCAGCACAGCGCUAGACAUUUUUGCCAUAAAAUGUAUCAACAGGAAGGUUGAUUUACUAAAUAUGCUACUGUUCAUUACCCGGAAUAAAAACUUUAAAUAGUUGUCUAACUGUGUUCUAGUUUCGCAAUACAGAGAAAAAAAGUA